GCUGUGUGUUAUAUGUGUCACACGGGACUGCCGGUCUUAAGCCGGAGGAAAGGUGGGGAUGACGUCAAGUCAGCAUGGCCUUUAUAUCCUGGGCUACACACACGCUACAAUGGCCAGGUACAGUAGGUUGCGAAGCCGCGAGGCGGAGCCAAUCCUCAAAAGCUGGCCUCAGUUCAGAUUGCAGGCUGCAACCCGCCUGCAUGAAGAUGGAGUUGCUAGUAACCGCAGGUCAGUCAUACUGCGGUGAAUACCGGUUCCCGGGGCUU
Molecule: ribosomal RNA, 266 nt
Filed under: uncultured Leptolinea sp.
Lineage: Bacteria; Bacillati; Chloroflexota; Anaerolineae; Anaerolineales; Anaerolineaceae
Description: partial 16S ribosomal RNA
Rfam family: Bacterial small subunit ribosomal RNA
Source: RNAcentral